UACGGAGGGUGCAAGCGUUAAUCGGAAUUACUGGGCGUAAAGCGCACGCAGGUGGCUGAGUAAGUCGAUUGUGAAAGCCCUGGGCUUAACCUAGGAAGUGCAUUCGAAACUGCUGGGCUUGAGUUCUGGAGAGGAAGGCGGAAUUCUCGGUGUAGAGGUGAAAUUCGUAGAUAUCGAGAGGAACACCGGUGGCGAAGGCGGCCUUCUGGACAGUGACUGACGCUGAGACGCGAAAGCGUGGGGAGCAAACAGGG
RNAcentral lists this ribosomal RNA (254 nucleotides) under uncultured bacterium. RNAcentral's name for it is "partial 16S ribosomal RNA". It matches the Rfam family "Bacterial small subunit ribosomal RNA", at positions 524 to 777 of the family's 1533-position model. The record is from RNAcentral.